UGCGUAGGUGGUUUCUUAAGUCAGGAGUGAAAGGCUACGGCUCAACCGUAGUAAGCUCUCGAAACUGGGAAACUUGAGUGCAGGAGAGGAAAGUGGAAUUCCUAGUGUAGCGGUGAAAUGCGUAGAUAUUAGGAGGAACACCAGUAGCGAAGGCGGCUUUCUGGACUGUAACUGACACUGAGGCACGAAAGCGUGGGGAGGCAAAACA
Molecule: ribosomal RNA, 208 nt
Filed under: uncultured bacterium
Lineage: Bacteria
Description: partial 16S ribosomal RNA
Rfam family: Bacterial small subunit ribosomal RNA
Source: RNAcentral